Durio zibethinus is the source of this 1180-nucleotide long non-coding RNA. RefSeq lists it as uncharacterized. NCBI's taxonomy places the organism in Eukaryota, Viridiplantae, Streptophyta, Magnoliopsida, Malvales, Malvaceae. The record is from RefSeq and is a predicted model, not a curated record.
GGAUUUUUUUUGCCAAAAUAAAUAUGGGAAUUUGGGACGAAGAGAAUUUUUUUAGUAAAAAAAUAGCAAUUGCAUGCGUGUGCCUUGCAUUAGCGUUCUCUGUAUCAUAGAACAAAACUAUCAACAAUUUAUUAUUUUUUCCCUUUUUUGUCAGAGAUUAAACCCACGCUCGCUCAUCUCUGUUCCCUCGUUUCACUGGGCACAAAAUCUAGCCUUGUGCACAAAUUUUUCUCCUCAAUUUGUCUACUAAGGUUUUGCUAUCAUGACGCUUCUCUCCCAUCUCUAUGUAAACCUCCUUAGGACCAUACAACUCCGUCUCUCCUAUUGGCCGGCUUGUCUUUGGCUCUUUGCUGAUCAGAUGACGUCUUUGGUGGGGCGUACUUAGUCAGGAUCACCAAUGUUAAAGAUUAGACUAAUUUUAGCUUUACCUAACCCUAACGGUGCCGCCCCGGGGUGCCUACUUCCACGAGUCUCGAACUUUUCUAUCAUGGGGUGCUUUAUUUGGUGGUUUUUAAUACUUGAGUUGGGAGUUUUAAUUGUUUUGACUAUUUUGUUUUUGGACUUAAUUGGGAGGUUCGGAAAGAGCCCCCGUCGGUCCAAAACAAGGACAUGAGAGGGUGUUACACGUCUGCUGGUUCAGGGACACCUCUGGGUUGCGCAAGUUAACAGUGCUGAAUGCGCGGCGUAUGGGUUUACAUGAUUCAGGAGACGCGUGCCUUCUCAUUUUCUUUGCUUGGAUUGAAGGGAGCUCCAAGCAUUAAGUUGCUUCUCAUAUACUGAUCUCCAUCUGAUAUCUAUCCAUUUCACUUUGCUUUAUAUAAAUGUUUACUUGCUUUUUGUUCUUUCAAAAUCUGCCCGUUGUCACCACUUACCAUUUUGCCAAAAAGAAAAAAACAAAGGUAAUUGAUACGAUUGCAGAAAGUGCUUUUGCCUUGCAAAAACAGUGUUUGUGAAACGUUUUAAUGGAUGCAGGAUCAUUGAUAAGGUUUUCAACGCAAGCCAACUAAUCAGCUAGGCCUUCCUGCCUAAUCAACGCUCAAAGCGCCAAUAAAUGCUUGUGCAUGAUCUAAAGAAACCGAGGCAACUUUCUUAUGUGAUAUAUUUUCGUAAAAAUAUAAAGUAUUAAUUUUAUAGCAUUUCAUCAAUCUUAAUUUCUUUAUUUUAUGAAAUCACUUUUUGA